UGGGGAAUUUUGCACAAUGGGGGAAACCCUGAUGCAGCGACGCCGCGUGAUUGAGAAGGCCUUCGGGUUGUAAAAUUCUUUUCUAUGGGAAGAAAAUGACAGUACCAUAGGAAUAAGGACCGGCUAAUUACGUGCCAGCAGCCGCGGUAAUACGUAAGGUCCGAGCGUUGUCCGGAAUUAUUGGGGGGAAAGGGUACGUAGGCGGGUAAGAAAGUUAGAAGUGAAAUCCUAUCGCUCAACUAUAGUAAGCUUUUAAAACUGCUCAUCUUGAGGUAGGGAAGGGAAAGUGGAAUUCCUAGUGUAGCGGUGAAAUGCGCAGAUAUUAGGAGGAAUACCGGUGGCGAAGGCGACUUUCUGGCCAUAACCUGACGCUGAGGUACGAAAGCGUGGGUAGCAAACAGG
RNAcentral lists this ribosomal RNA (402 nucleotides) under bacterium. RNAcentral's name for it is "partial 16S ribosomal RNA". It matches the Rfam family "Bacterial small subunit ribosomal RNA", at positions 355 to 776 of the family's 1533-position model. The record is from RNAcentral.